This 1134-nucleotide long non-coding RNA is filed under the name Olea europaea subsp. europaea. Lineage: Eukaryota; Viridiplantae; Streptophyta; Magnoliopsida; Lamiales; Oleaceae. The record is from RNAcentral.
CCCGAACCUGCCCAUUGCCAUCCGUAGCCACAAAUUUGGCGCUCAUAACUUGUAUAUGAGAAAAAAACAUUCAGCAUGCAUUCAAUCGGAAAGUAGAAACAAAAUAAUCUAAGGAAGAAAAAUAACGAUGGUUAUCAAUAUGCAUAAGAAAAAGAAACAACAGUACAUAUACCUUUUUUGAAUGAUCAAUAAGAGCAGAUAAAAUCUGCCCUGAAGGUCUAUCAAAGGCUACAACAUUUGAAUAAACUCCAGCAGUGGCAAUGAUGUCCUUAACAACAAAUCAUACAAAAAUAGGUCAAUGAAUAAAAUAUGUCCUAUACUCUGUUUAUAUGGGUGAUUUGAUCCAUCCAAAGCACACCAUGAGUACCCAAAAACAAAGGAUCAGGGUACCACCACUACAAUUUUAUUUCUCUAAGAAGCACCUGUUAAAAAAUUAAUUUGUAAUCUAUCCUCAAAGAGUUCAAAUCCAAAUUGAACACUUCAACCAACAAAGGUUUCAUUCAUUGAAUGAUCAAAUGGAUAAGAUUUUGAAUUCAAGUUGUAUACUCAACUUCAAUGUUCAAGCUUGCAAGUUGGCAUCUGAAAAUUAAACAUCAGACAGUAGUCAUCUGAUCAGUCAAACAGAGCUGCAAAUACAUAUUUUCCAGCUGCACAUGAUGAAGAAAAAACAGCUUUUAUCUUGUUGUAAUUGUAGUAAAUUCUUAGGACUAGUUUACUCAAUGUUCACUAUAAAUAGGAAGGUAUCCAUCUAGUGUUAUGUAUGUAGAAGAAGUGAGAAAAUUUUCUCAAAAAAAUUAGAGAAAAAGUGUGUUGUAGCAACUCCUUGGUAAUUCCCCAAAUUUCAUUAGAAAAUUUUCAUAUUUCUCUUAUCUAUUCCUUCUACACCCAACAAAUUUUGGUAUCAGAGCUUAGGCAAAAUACAUAAAUCAAAUCCUACCAAAAGUUGAAACAAAAUCAGCCCCAAAAACCACCAUAGCGGCAGCUAUGGCAACAAAUUCAGCAGCCUCCUUGGUCACUUAUUCACCAAGUCAAGUACCAAUCUUUAAAGGUGAGCACUAUGAAUAUUGUAGUCAAAUGAAAACUUUCUUCAUCUCUUUAGAUUUAUGAGAUGUUGUUGAAGAUGAUGAGGUGGUA